This is a long non-coding RNA of Sycon ciliatum, 1466 nucleotides long. RefSeq lists it as uncharacterized. NCBI's taxonomy places the organism in Eukaryota, Metazoa, Porifera, Calcarea, Leucosolenida, Sycettidae. The record is from RefSeq and is a predicted model, not a curated record. The transcript is spliced from 2 exons.
UACCGGUACAUUAAUUAAGUCCCCGAUUGUUGUUUCGAAUGCCAAAUUUAGGCGCUUCUUUCUACCACGGUGUUUCGGGGCUCCUGAAGAAAGAGAAUAGCUUUUCCGCUGUCAGAUAUAGAGGAUCAAAUUUAGUCAAGGUGGUCUUAUCAUACUUCAUAGUACUCUAGGCGCCUCCAAGCUAUGCACGCUCGCGGUUGCGAUCUGAGUGGAAGGACGACGGAGGAUUGCCCAUUGGCCAGCGAAUUCCAGAUAUCUGUAGGAACUACCCAUUCGCCGCUACUGUUAUCACAAUAACAUGACAACUGAGGGGAAUGUCUCGACUAUGGCCACCACAAAUGUCAGUACUGGUAGGAGUAUUAGCUACACGUCAUCUUUUGCUGGCACCAUGGCCAUAGGUAGUGUAGCUGCCACCACAUCGCCUCAUUGUUCGUGUCCUGAGCCGCAGUGCGCUGGUGCUGGAGGCUACAUCGCGGGCAUAUGCAUACUGAUCGUGUUGUUGGUCGCCAUCACGGCAGUGGCCGUGCUCCAAUGGCAGAACAAACUGCAUGUCAUCACGGGAGUGUUCAGCGGGAUGCGUGUCACGCAGCAGAGACCAGCUGGCAACUUUUACAAUGAGGGGCCCGGCCGUCAGGAAGCUACCACGUCGCCGAACACACCUCCGGACAAAACGCCUGCGCCUGCCAAGCAGCUAAGCCAAGUGCCAGCAGUCCGAAGUAGGUCAGUCUUAAGUGGCGACUCCGGCCCGAACAUCGGCCCGCCACCAACACCACUCGCAACCAAGACAAAGCCAGCCACUGACGACUACUGCUCUAUCACAGAUCAAGUGGAAGAAGCUGAGGAAUACGUGGAAGUGGACAAAGAAGAAGGCGGAGAUGAUUACGAUGAUGUCUCCUUCCGAAGUCCUGGCUCCGUUGACCCUUGUCAUAAGGAUGGCAUGGAGAAGACAGGCUCACACGCAUCCUUCACCUCAGAUGACAUUUACGAGAAUUAUGCAUAAUACUCAAUGUUUGCCAUGGUCAGAGUGAAUAAUCACAGCCACGCGUGAUACUGAAUGACCAUGCCAUGAUCGGACUGAGACAAUCACGUGCAUGCAGUGAAACACGGAAGGCGCUCCUGUCAUAGAGUUACUGAUAGAAUCAUACACACCCAAUCUUCAUCAUUUCUUUGUGUCCUGUUAAUCUGCUUAGCCAUGGCAUGCUGUGUUUUCCUGUAAAGGAGCCAGGCUUAGCAUAGUGUGUUCAAUGCACAGUCUGCAGAAACAUCAUGCCCGCCAUAGCCAUUUAUACGCUCUUUCUUAGACUGGAUGUACAUCUACAUCAUCACCGCAUCCACAUUCCCCUGGGGAGUUAUGUACUCUUGCUGGCAGUGCAGUGAUACCGGGAAUGCUCUCGUCGGAUCGUGAGUACACUAAUAUUCCUCCAUCAAAACAUUCAAAAACAUUUCCAGAACCACCGUUACGCUUA